This is a long non-coding RNA of Nicotiana attenuata, 1220 nucleotides long. RefSeq lists it as uncharacterized. Lineage: Eukaryota; Viridiplantae; Streptophyta; Magnoliopsida; Solanales; Solanaceae. The transcript has 6 exons. The record is from RefSeq and is a predicted model, not a curated record.
UUUCAAAUGGUACAAUUAGUUCCCUCUCUCACAAAUCUUUUAGCAGCGCUCGAUGCUCUCUUCAUCUUGUCUACGAAGCCAGUGGGGCGCAAUCCAAAGAACAAAGAUAUUUACCCACUGAAUCAAAGGACAUUCUAGCGCAAUGAAUCGAUCAUCCAGGAUUUGAGCUAAUUGCCACGGUGAUGUAAAUUCAUCAAGGGGUAAAUCCUCUUCCAGUGCAAAGGUUUCAGCAUUGAUGGGCUAUUUUUAUAGCAUUGAGGAAGGAAACUGCAUCAAUUGAAGAACAUUUGCAGCUCUGAGUAUCAGUUGGAUUUAAGCAAAGAGGUGCUAGCCUUGAGAACAAUAAACAUGGUUGGCUCAAUGACAACUGCUAUAUGGCCCAGGACUAUUGUUUACAGAAAUAUCAGUACAAUAUAUACAGAAAUAGUAAGGGUCCUUGGCAUUCUUAUUGUUAGAGGUGAUUCUCUUGCAGUUCUUACUUGAUAUAGAUACUAGUGGAAUUUAUGCCUUAAAAAUUUUGAUUAAGUACCUCAAGAAAUAAGAUGAAGUAAGCUGAUAGUAUAUAAAUUCUAUUUUUUGCGUCAAGUUUUGGCACUUUCUUGUUGCUUCUUUUGCUUGAAAUUAGCUCCAGAAGAUUAUGCGCAAUGGCUUGUUUAUUUAACUUAUUAUUAGUUUAUAUUUUGUAGUUCAUUUCCUCUACUUCAGUUUCUAGUGUUGUUAUUAGCUUUCAGCUGGUGCAAGUUUAACUUCUGCGAAUCAUUGGGCUGGAUUACAACUCAUAGUUUAUUUGUUUAAUGCUAGAAAGCUUAUAGAGGCUGACGUAUACUCUAAUAGUUAUGUAGGUGAAAUUUUCAUGAAUAUAUGGCUAGAUUUUAUGCUGCCAAGUAGAGUUUGGAGCAUAGUGAUAUGGAGAUCGAGUGUGUUUCACCCAUGGAUGUAAGAGUAUCAUUAAGUGACAACAUACAAAUCACCAAGCAAGUACUUUUCACUUUUAUAUAUUUAUUUGUUGAGGAACUACUCUAGUCUCUAGAUUGUCUAGUGUUUAAGUUAUCAUAUAUGUGUUUGUAUAAUUUAGUUUGUAAUGUUUGUUGCUAUAGAUAUUUGUAAGGGAAUUUGAGUUAUCAUAUAUGUGUUUGUAUAAUUUAGUUUGUAAUGUUUGUUACUAUAGAUAUUUGUAAUGGAAUUAGAGUUACUAAUUUAGUAAACAAUUAUUUAUUGAA